AAGACCUUGCGCUUUUGGAGCGGCCGAUGCCUGAUUAGCUAGUUGGUGGGGUAAUGGCCUACCAAAGCUUCGAUCAGUAGCUGGUCUGAGAGGACGGCCAGCCACACUGGGACUGAGACACGGCCCAGACUCCUACGGGAGGCAGCAGUGGGGAAUUUUGGACAAUGGGCGCAAGCCUGAUCCAGCCAUGCCGCGUGAGUGAAGAAGGCCUUCGGGUUGUAAAGCUCUUUCAGCCGGAACGAAACGGUUACGGAUAACACCCGUGACUACUGACGGUACCGGAAGAAGAAGCACCGGCUAACUACGUGCCAGCAGCCGCGGUAAUACGUAGGGUGCGAGCGUUAAUCGGAAUUACUGGGCGUAAAGCGUGCGCAGGUGGUUUUGUAAGUCAGAUGUGAAAGCCCCGGGCUCAACCUGGGAACU
Molecule: ribosomal RNA, 423 nt
Filed under: uncultured bacterium
Lineage: Bacteria
Description: bacterial SSU rRNA
Rfam family: Bacterial small subunit ribosomal RNA
Source: RNAcentral